GCCUCUGUGGCGAAAUGGUAGACGCGACAGACUCAAAAUCUGUUUCCUGCAAGGGAGUGUUGGUUCAAGUCCGACCAGAGGUACCA
This 86-nucleotide transfer RNA is filed under the name Alphaproteobacteria bacterium. RNAcentral describes it as "tRNA-Leu". It matches the Rfam family "tRNA". From Rfam's summary of the family: Transfer RNA (tRNA) molecules are approximately 80 nucleotides in length. Their secondary structure includes four short double-helical elements and three loops (D, anti-codon, and T loops). The record is from RNAcentral. Lineage: Bacteria; Pseudomonadati; Pseudomonadota; Alphaproteobacteria.